AGGACGAACGCUGGCGGCGUGCUUAACACAUGCAAGUCGAGCGGAAAGGCCCUUCGGGGUACUCGAGCGGCGAACGGGUGAGUAACACGUGAGUAAUCUGCCCCUAGCUCUGGGAUAGCUCCGGGAAACCGGGAUUAAUACCAGAUACGACCACUUUAGACAUCUGCUGUGGUGGAAAGAAUUUCGGCUAGGGAUGAGCUCGCGGCCUAUCAGCUUGUUGGUGAGGUAACGACUCACCAAGGCGACGACGGGUAGCCGGCCUGAGAGGGCGACCGGCCACACUGGGACUGAGACACGGCCCAGACUCCUACGGGAGGCAGCAGUGGGGAAUAUUGCGCAAUGGGCGAAAGCCUGACGCAGCGACGCCGCGUGGGGGAUGAAUGCCUUCGGGUUGUAAACCCCUUUCAGCAGGGACGAAGCGAAAGUGACGGUACCUGCAGAAGAAGCGCCGGCUAACUACGUGCCAGCAGCCGCGGUAA
Molecule: ribosomal RNA, 479 nt
Filed under: uncultured bacterium
Lineage: Bacteria
Description: SSU rRNA
Rfam family: Bacterial small subunit ribosomal RNA
Source: RNAcentral